GAUGAAGAACGUAGCGAAAUGCGAUAAGUAAUGUGAAUUGCAGAAUUCAGUGAAUCAUCGAAUCUUUGAACGCACAUUGCGCCUUCUGGUAUUCCGGGGGGCAUGCCUGUUCGAGCGUCAUUACAACCCUCAAGCUUUGCUUGGUAUUGGACAUUGCCAGUUUCUGGCAGGUCUUAAAAUCAGUGGCGGUGCCAUUUGGCUUCAAGCGUAGUAAUUCUUCUCGCUUUGGAGAUCCAGGUGGUUACUUGCCAAUAACCCCCAAUUUUUUCAGGUUGACCUCGGAUCAGGUAGGGAUACCCGCUGAACUUAAGCAUAUCAAUAAGCGGAGGA
This 330-nucleotide unclassified non-coding RNA is filed under the name soil metagenome. RNAcentral describes it as "partial contains 5.8S ribosomal RNA, internal transcribed spacer 2, and large subunit ribosomal RNA". The stretch from base 1 to 120 matches the Rfam family "5.8S ribosomal RNA", at positions 35 to 154 of the family's 154-position model. The record is from RNAcentral.